RNAcentral lists this transfer RNA (87 nucleotides) under Polynucleobacter yangtzensis. RNAcentral's name for it is "tRNA-Gly". The record is from RNAcentral. Lineage: Bacteria; Pseudomonadati; Pseudomonadota; Betaproteobacteria; Burkholderiales; Burkholderiaceae.
CUGGGGUCCAGAGUGGGAGCGUCGUGGUAUUGCCGAUGCCACCAUGGAUGAGGGCAAGGGUGAUUUUUCGAUUCAGUUACCCCCGCC